This is a non-coding RNA of Canis lupus familiaris (dog), 89 nucleotides long. The record is from Rfam. Lineage: Eukaryota; Metazoa; Chordata; Mammalia; Carnivora; Canidae.
GGGGAGAGGCCGGAUCCUCGGCUGUGUCCCGGCGCCCUGUGCUCGGGAGCCAGCGCUGUUGGAUUCGCGCUCCCGCCCCGCAGCCCCCU